CAACACGAAACAACUUUUACAAGAAUUGAUGACUGACAAAAAAAGAUAAACAAUCAAAUUUCCAUUUUGGUCAAGCAAGCUACACAGACGCAGACAGGUGAAAUUUUAUGAUCCAUGGUUUAAAAUUUUUGCUAUGAUAAAAUACUAAUGACUACAAAAUCAUAUAAGUAAAAAGUUUAAUUUAAUUAAUUAUUAAUAUAUAUAUAUAUAUAUUUUUUAAAUUAAACUAUAAACCAUAUAAAAUAAAUAAAUAUUUUAGUUUCAAAAUAUACUUUGAACAAUUUUUUUUGAUAAAAGCUUUGAACGAAUAUUGACAACUUAAUUUUUUAAAAUUUAUAAAUUACUAAAACUAUUAAUCCCACAAUCAAAAUUUUGUUAUCAGUAAUUUAAAGUUUUUGUUAUUAAAGAUACAAAUGAUCAAAAACCAUAUGAGUAAAAAGCAUCAUUUAAUAGACAUUAAUAUUAAAAAUAUAAUAUGUAUUUUAAUAUCAUUUAAAUUUAAUUACAUAUCCUAUGAAAUAGAAAAAAAAAUUAUUGUUUAGAUUAAUAAAAUUGAUUUAUAGGGCACCAAUUUAAUUAUAUAUGUAAUAGUUAUUGACUUUUAAUUUUUCAAUAUAUAUUUAUUAUUUUAUAAUAUAAAUAUUUAUAUAAUGUUCAAAGGGAAGAUCUUAACCUAGUAUAGAAGUAAGACGUAUAUUCUACAUAGCCACGAGCACGGCCUUGAUCUUUUUAUAAAACCAAGUAAACUUGCUUAAAUGAAGUUGUAGAUNNNNNNNNNNCAGUCACUAGAUUACUUUAUUGAGCCUUUCAAAAUUUAAAGAGCGACUAUUUCCUUAUUUCCUUUAAACAAGUUCAUUCAUACAAAGCAACACGAAACAACUUUUACAAGAAUUGAUGACUGACAAAAAAAGAUAAACAAUCAAAUUUCCAUUUUGGUCAAGCAAGCUACACAGACGCAGACAGGUGAGAUGUAACAAGCGAAAAGGUAAGAGGCUUCUGCUUCUUGUAUUCAUUGUACCGCAAAAAGAAGUAACCCAAAUAAUCAAACUCAAUUGGAGACAUCCUUGCCUG
RNAcentral lists this long non-coding RNA (1071 nucleotides) under Brassica napus (rape). RNAcentral's name for it is "long non-coding RNA (BNAP_LNC015545)". Lineage: Eukaryota; Viridiplantae; Streptophyta; Magnoliopsida; Brassicales; Brassicaceae. The record is from RNAcentral.